This is a non-coding RNA of Leptodontidium sp. MPI-SDFR-AT-0119, 78 nucleotides long. The record is from the annotation of a GenBank genome assembly. NCBI's taxonomy places the organism in Eukaryota, Fungi, Ascomycota, Leotiomycetes, Helotiales, Leptodontidiaceae.
GGCCUCAUGGUGUAGUGGUCGCACAACUCGCUCAAAUUUUCCUCGCGCGAGACGCAAGUUCGAUCCUUGCUGAGACCC